Molecule: ribosomal RNA, 193 nt
Filed under: uncultured bacterium
Lineage: Bacteria
Description: partial 16S ribosomal RNA
Rfam family: Bacterial small subunit ribosomal RNA
Source: RNAcentral
ACGCUCGACACCUACGGGAGCAGCAGUGGGGAAUAUUGCACAAUGGGGGAAACCCUGAUGCAGCGACGCCGCGUGAAGGAAGAAGUAUUUCGGUAUGUAAACUUCUAUCAGCAGGGAAGAAGAUGACGGUACCUGACUAAGAAGCCCCGGCUAACUACGUGCCAGCACGCCGACGUAUCNGNGCGGNNGAGAG